CAGAGGGGGCAAGCGUUGCUCGGAAUCACUGGGCGUAAAGGGCGCGUAGGCGGGGUGGCAAGUCGGUCGUGAAAUCCCUGGGCUCAACUCGAGGGGGGUCGGCCGAUACUGCCAUUCUUGAGGGAUGCAGAGGAGACUGGAAUUCCCGGUGUAGCGGUGAAAUGUGUAGAGAUCGGGAGGAACACCGGUGGCGAAGGCGGGUCUCUGGGCAUUCCCUGACGCUGAGGCGCGAAAGCGUGGGGAGCAAACGGGAUUAGACUACCCCGGUAGUCCACGCGGUAAACGAUGACGACUAGGUGUGGGGGGGGUUAAGUCCCUUCCGUGCCGCAGCUAACGCAUUAAGUCGUCCGCCUGGGGAGUACGGCCGCAAGGUUG
This 375-nucleotide ribosomal RNA is filed under the name uncultured organism. Its description in RNAcentral is "bacterial SSU rRNA". It matches the Rfam family "Bacterial small subunit ribosomal RNA", at positions 526 to 896 of the family's 1533-position model. The record is from RNAcentral.